Molecule: small RNA, 155 nt
Filed under: Arabidopsis thaliana (thale cress)
Lineage: Eukaryota; Viridiplantae; Streptophyta; Magnoliopsida; Brassicales; Brassicaceae
Description: ATSL211190
Source: RNAcentral
GCAACAACAACAACAUUCACUUUCACAAUCAUCUUUAUGGUAUUAAUUGACAAUGAGUGAAGAGACCCAUAUAUUACUUAAGAUUCUACUCAACUUUUCCAAUGUGAAACAAUAUCCCUAAUAAAAACAAAAACAAAACUUGAUAGUAAAUUCAC